CAGCCGCCGCGGGAAAACGGAGGGAGCUAGCGUUGUUCGGAAUUACUGGGCGUAAAGCGCGCGUAGGCGGUUACUCAAGUCAGAGGUGAAAGCCCGGGGCUCAACCCCGGAACUGCCUUUGAAACUAGGUGACUAGAAUCUUGGAGAGGUCAGUGGAAUUCCGAGUGUAGAGGUGAAAUUCGUAGAUAUUCGGAAGAACACCAGUGGCGAAGGCGACUGACUGGACAAGUAUUGACGCUGAGGUGCGAAAGCGUGGGGAGCAAACAGGAUUAGAUACCCCCGUAGUCCCUGUCUCUUAUAC
RNAcentral lists this ribosomal RNA (301 nucleotides) under uncultured bacterium. RNAcentral describes it as "partial 16S ribosomal RNA". It matches the Rfam family "Bacterial small subunit ribosomal RNA", at positions 509 to 807 of the family's 1533-position model. The record is from RNAcentral.